CAGAGCCGUGGUUUAUUGUGUCUAAAAUUUAUUUACAAAAUAUUUUAAUAUUAUAUUUGAAGGGUUCAAACUAUAAUAGAUGUGCCUUGUGCAAUAGUCAAAUCGUUUGAAUGUUUAUAUUAUUUUUUUGUGGAUAAAAAUAUGUAUUCAUGUAACUAUUGAGAUCGUUCAUAAUUUGAAUUUGAAAUUUUGUAUUAGAUACAUCGGGAAUCUAUAAUAUGUUACAUGAUUCUAUUGUUAUUUUUUAAUUGUUAUUAGUUCAUGAGAUGUUAAUUAAUAAUAAUAUUCUAGCAUGAAUUCUUAUUAUGAGAUAAUAUUUUUUUUUAUUUGUUAUUAGUUCAUGAGAUGUUAAUUAAUAAUAAUAUUCUAGCAUGAAUUCUUUCUAUGUGAUAGGUAAGAUAAAUAUGUUAGAUGAUGUUGAAUUUUUUGUUUUAUGCCAUGUGCUUGCUCAUUAUAUAAUUUUGAAUUAUUUAUUACAUAUGAUGUAAAUUAAUUUAGGGCUAAGCAUGUAGACAGUUGAACUAAAUUCACUUGCUAUAAAAGAUUCGAUCUUCGUGUUAUUAAAAAUUGUUUUUGUAAUAAUUCCCUCUUAUUAAAAUUUGAGUUCUUAAAUAAUACAAUAUAAGAUAUUUUAUUAUAAAGCUAUCCAUCAAGGUAAUUAAUUUUACUUACUUCUUGUUU
This 681-nucleotide long non-coding RNA is filed under the name Nicotiana benthamiana. RNAcentral's name for it is "long non-coding RNA (NBEN_LNC040035)". Lineage: Eukaryota; Viridiplantae; Streptophyta; Magnoliopsida; Solanales; Solanaceae. The record is from RNAcentral.